AAACUCAAAGGAAUUGACGGGGACCCGCACAAGCGGUGGAUGAUGUGGAUUAAUUCGAUGCAACGCGAAAAACCUUACCUACCCUUGACAUGUCUGGAAUCCUGGAGAGAUUUGGGAGUGCCCGAAAGGGAACCGGAACACAGGUGCUGCAUGGCUGUCGUCAGCUCGUGUCGUGAGAUGUUGGGUUAAGUCCCGCAACGAGCGCAACCCUUGUCGUUAAUUGCCAUCAUUUAGUUGGGCACUUUAACGAGACUGCCGGUGACAAACCGGAGGAAGGUGGGGAUGACGUCAAGUCCUCAUGGCCCUUAUGGGUAGGGCUUCACACGUCAUACAAUGGUCGGUACAGAGGGUUGCCAAGCCGCGAGGUGGAGCCAAUCCCAGAAAGCCGAUCGUAGUCCGGAUCGUAGUCUGCAACUCGACUGCGUGAAGUCGGAAUCGCUAGUAAUCGCGGAUCAGCAUGUCGCGGUGAAUACGUUCCCGGGUCUUGUACACACCGCCCGUCACACCAUGGGAGCGGGUUCCGCCAGAAGUAGGUAGCCUAACCGCAAGGGGGGCGCUUACCACGGCGGGGUUCGUGACUGGGGUGAAGUCGUAACAAGGUAGCCGUAGGGGAACCUGCGGCUGGAUCACCUCCUUUAUG
This 640-nucleotide ribosomal RNA is filed under the name uncultured Dechloromonas sp. Its description in RNAcentral is "bacterial SSU rRNA". It matches the Rfam family "Bacterial small subunit ribosomal RNA", at positions 897 to 1533 of the family's 1533-position model. Lineage: Bacteria; Pseudomonadati; Pseudomonadota; Betaproteobacteria; Rhodocyclales; Azonexaceae. The record is from RNAcentral.